GCGGCGUGCUUACACAUGCAAGUCGAACGAUGAAGGUGGGAGCUUGCUCCUACUGGAUUAGUGGCGAACGGGUGAGUAACACGUGAGCAAUCUGCCCCUGACUCUGGGAUAAGCGUUGGAAACGACGUCUAAUACCGGAUACGAGCUGGGACCGCAUGGUCACCAGCUGGAAAGAACUUUGGUCAGGGAUGAGCUCGCGGCCUAUCAGCUUGUUGGUGAGGUAAUGGCUCACCAAGGCGACGACGGGUAGCCGGCCUGAGAGGGUGACCGGCCACACUGGGACUGAGACACGGCCCAGACUCCUACGGGAGGCAGCAGUGGGGAAUAUUGCACAAUGGGCGCAAGCCUGAUGCAGCAACGCCGCGUGAGGGACGAAGGCCUUCGGGUUGUAAACCUCUUUUAGCAGGGAAGAAGCGAAAGUGACGGUACCUGCAGAAAAAGCGC
Molecule: ribosomal RNA, 444 nt
Filed under: uncultured Microbacterium sp.
Lineage: Bacteria; Bacillati; Actinomycetota; Actinomycetes; Micrococcales; Microbacteriaceae
Description: bacterial SSU rRNA
Rfam family: Bacterial small subunit ribosomal RNA
Source: RNAcentral